This 486-nucleotide ribosomal RNA is filed under the name uncultured bacterium. RNAcentral describes it as "partial 16S ribosomal RNA". It matches the Rfam family "Bacterial small subunit ribosomal RNA", at positions 30 to 507 of the family's 1533-position model. The record is from RNAcentral.
AUUGAACGCUGGCGGCAUGCCUUACACAUGCAAGUCGAACGGCAGCACGGGUGCUUACACCUGGUGGCGAGUGGCGAACGGGUGAGUAAUACAUCGGAACAUGUCCUGUAGUGGGGGAUAGCCCGGCGAAAGCCGGAUUAAUACCGCAUACGAUCUACGGAUGAAAGCGGGGGACCUUCGGGCCUCGCGCUAUAGGGUUGGCCGAUGGCUGAUUAGCUAGUUGGUGGGGUAAAGGCCUACCAAGGCGACGAUCAGCAGCUGGUCUGAGAGGACGACCAGCCACACUGGGACUGAGACACGGCCCAGACUCCUACGGGAGGCAGCAGUGGGGAAUUUUGGACAAUGGGCGAAAGCCUGAUCCAGCAAUGCCGCGUGUGUGAAGAAGGCCUUCGGGUUGUAAAGCACUUUUGUCCGGAAAGAAAUCCUUGGCCCUAAUACGGUCGGGGGAUGACGGUACCGGAAGAAUAAGCACCGGCUAACUACGUG